RNAcentral lists this unclassified non-coding RNA (352 nucleotides) under soil metagenome. RNAcentral describes it as "partial contains 5.8S ribosomal RNA, internal transcribed spacer 2, and large subunit ribosomal RNA". The stretch from base 1 to 120 matches the Rfam family "5.8S ribosomal RNA", at positions 35 to 154 of the family's 154-position model. The record is from RNAcentral.
GAUGAAGAACGUAGUGAAAUGCGAUAAGUAAUGUGAAUUGCAGAAUUCAGUGAAUCAUCGAAUCUUUGAACGCACAUUGCGCCCGCCAGUAUUCUGGCGGGCAUGCCUGUUCGAGCGUCAUUUCAACCCUCAGGCCCCCAGUGCCUGGUGUUGGGGAUCGGCCCAGCCUUCCUGUAAGGCCGCCGGCCCCGAAAUCUAGUGGCGGUCUCGCUGUAGUCCUCCUCUGCGUAGUAGCACAACCUCGCAGUUGGAACGCGGCGGUGGCCAUGCCGUUAAACACCCCACUUCUGAAAGUUGACCUCGGAUCAGGUAGGAAUACCCGCUGAACUUAAGCAUAUCAAUGAGCGGAGGA